UUUGUGCAAUUCAAUAAGCGGAGGAAAAGAAACUAACAAGGAUUCCCCUAGUAGCGGCGAGCGAAGCGGGAAGAGCUCAAAUUUAUAAUCUGGCACCUUCGGUGUCCGAGUUGUAAUCUCUAGAAAUGUUUUCCGCGUUGGACCGCACACAAGUCUGUUGGAAUACAGCGGCAUAGUGGUGAGACCCCCGUAUAUGGUGCGGACGCCCAGCGCUUUGUGAUACAUUUUCGAAGAGUCGAGUUGUUUGGGAAUGCAGCUCAAAUUGGGUGGUAAAUUCCAUCUAAAGCUAAAUAUUGGCGAGAGACCGAUAGCGAACAAGUACCGUGAGGGAAAGAUGAAAAGCACUUUGGAAAGAGAGUUAACAGUACGUGAAAUUGUUGGAAGGGAAACGCUUGAAGUCAGACUUGCUUGCCGAGCAAUCGGUUUGCAGGCCAGCAUCAGUUUUCCGGGAUGGAUAAUGGUAGAGAGAAGGUAGCAGUUUCGGCUGUGUUAUAGCUCUCUGCUGGAUACAUCUUGGGGGACUGAGGAACGCAGUGUGCCUUUGGCGGGGGUUUCGACCUCUUCACACUAGGAUGCGGGAAUGCUACCCC
RNAcentral lists this ribosomal RNA (590 nucleotides) under Rhodotorula mucilaginosa. RNAcentral's name for it is "eukaryotic LSU rRNA". It matches the Rfam family "Eukaryotic large subunit ribosomal RNA", at positions 33 to 629 of the family's 3401-position model. The record is from RNAcentral. Lineage: Eukaryota; Fungi; Basidiomycota; Microbotryomycetes; Sporidiobolales; Sporidiobolaceae.